Brassica rapa (field mustard) is the source of this 2103-nucleotide long non-coding RNA. RefSeq lists it as uncharacterized. NCBI's taxonomy places the organism in Eukaryota, Viridiplantae, Streptophyta, Magnoliopsida, Brassicales, Brassicaceae. The record is from RefSeq and is a predicted model, not a curated record.
UAUAAGUUAACUAGGCCAAUAUACAUAUCUCUUCUUUUUUUUUUUCUCCUCCAUCUCUCUCGCCUUCUACCUUCCCAUUAUGUCUUUGGUGAGGCUCCGGUGGCUUUCUUAAAACACCAGAACCGAGGCAUAACAAGAAGAGAUGUCUAUGACAAGACCACCACGUCUUGACUCAUCCAUUUUUGAAUAUUGGAAGGUAUGUUUGCAAGACACAUGUUUUUCUAAUAUAAAAGCUAAAAAUUAAGAUAACAUAUUUUAUAGUUAAAUAUUAAUUAAGAAAAAAUAUUUGUAAAAAGAUAUUUUCGAAAAUACUUUUAAUAUGUGAAUGUUUUGAAAAAAAUUGACUCAGUAAUAAGCAUUUAUAUUUUGAUGAACUUUGUCGUAUAUAAUAAUUGAUGUUUGGUUUAAAAUUUUUGGAGAACAUUUGAAUUAAUAAAAUAUAAACUAAUAAAUAUUCGUAAAAAAUUAUGUCUGCAUAUACGGGAGAAACAUCUAGUAUAUACUUAUUUAUAUUGAAUUGAGUAUUUAAGGUACUUAUUUAAAUUUUAAUAAUUAUUGUUGGAUACAUAUCAAAAUAAUAUGAAAUUGAAUAUUUUAAAUACACAUUUAUGUUUCAAAUAUUAUUUUCAUAUUAAUUUGGACAUUCCGAUGGGUUUCUCAAAAAAAAAAUGGUUUUUCGGAUUUUUCGUGUUACCCGUUUGGGUUUGGUUAAUAACACUUCGAGUUCAGAUAUUUUUGUAACACUCUAUAAGACCAUUCAAGUAUUUUUUAUAUUUCGAACCGGAUACUAAUCAGAUUUUUGGUUUGGACUCAGAUCGGGUUCGGUUUGGAUUUCGGGUUAAAAUUUUUAUGACAGCUUCAGUCUUAAGUGCUCCAAAAUCUUUAACCUUAUCCAAAAUGUACGUAAACCUAAAAUGACUUAUAAAAGACUCGAAAAAUAUAUAAAAUACUUUAAAUAUGUAUGACUUGUCAUGGUCAAAAACUCAUAAAAACCAUAAUACGUUUUUAUUUGAUUGUUUAUAAGUGUGUAUUUACUUUUCUGCUAAAUUUCUUUUCCUGCUUAGCUUUAAGAAAACAAUUUUUUCCCACCUCCUAUUUUGCAUAACCCACUUCUAUAUGCCUAAUUAGGUCAUCCUAGCCUAAUGGGCUGAGUAUCAUAUUCCGGGCCGAGCAACUGGGUCCGAUGGUUGGGCUUCCGAGCUAAGCUGAUGUACUGAUCCGAGCAGCAACACUGAGUAAAGCUGUCUCGAGCCGAUCGCCAGCACUUAGUCGGGAGCUAUUAGCUUAAGCCGAUGUCCUGAGCCGGCUCGAUGGGCCAAAUAUCCCAUUUGAUGGGCUUGAGGAGGGAUGCAAUCCAUCUCCUACCAUUUCAUUUUUAUUCGCUUAACGGAAAGCUUAAAAUUGGGAUGGGGGGGUGUUAUUCAUAAGCUUUAUAUGUACUAUAGAACGAAAAAUCAGAAGAAGAGUAAAUGAUCCAACGGUAAUGUUGAUGUGGAUGACAACAGAGAAGUUAUUGGUUUAUUGUUUAGAUUCGUUUAUUAUAAAGUGUUGAAUUCAGUUGGCUUUUGAAUAGAGAAAUAGAGACGUGAGUCUGUGGGAGUAUAAUUUGGAUUAAGCCAAUUGUGUCUUUCGACAUCAAAAGUUGUAAUUCGUGGAUAUGUAUUUCACUACAAGUAAUAUUCAGUAGAUUCGGGAUUAAGUUUGAGAGAUACACGAGAAGAAACAAACUCACUCUACCAGAAUCAUCCAUUUUGAAACUUGGAUCACCAUUCAAUUCUACCAAACUUUCGAAAGCCAAGACGUUGUUGUAUCGUUAUGAAACAAUAGGAAGAUUGGCACCAUCUGUUCUUCUAUGAAGCUAAAGCUAAAACCAAACUAUUUUACUUUUAUAGUCAUAUCAUCGACCAAGUAAAACAUAUGAGUACCAUUAAUAUAUAGUAAGAAAAUCUCACCAAACAGAACAAAAACAAGAAAAGUUUAAGAAGAAUAUGGAAAACAUAUCAUACACCAUAAAAAGCCCUAACAAGCCUUUCUCUUUCUGGAUUAAUAAUAAAAGAAAAGAAGAAAGCAAACAGGACACAAAUCUUGAGUUUUGAAUGAUCU